UGCGUGCGUUUGUUUAUUUCUUCCUCCUCCUCCUCCUCCUCUCGCACGGUUUGUUCGUAUCUUAAAAAAGCGGUUUUUUGAGGAGAUGACGUAGUGUUUUUUUUUUGAAAUUGGGUCUAACAUGUGAGUUUUUUAAGAGGGGUUUAUAUGUCGCAGUCUAGUGGGAAAAAGGGGGCGGCCAAGGGCCUCCCGAAGCCCGACAAAAAUGAGGAAAGCAAUGGGACUAGUAAAGCGGGAAAUCCUAAGGAUGCGAAGGAAAAAGAAGAAACGUCGAGUAAUGCGGAGGGCGAGGAAAGUUCGUCGGGGGCGAAGCCCCAGUCCGCGGGGGCGAACAUAAGGGACGCGGCCCAAAGGAUCCUGACACUGUGCCAAAAAGCCGAGUGGGCCCCAGUGGACCAAAUAUUGAAGUCUAUGGAGAAGGCCAUCUCCAAUUCUGGAGAGGACGUAAACACUUUACCGUUGGCAGGAGUGGCCGAUCUGAUUACUGGCAUGACUCCGCUAAUGUACGCGGUGAAAGACAACAGGACGUCCCUCCUGGAUAGAAUGAUCGAUCUGGGAUCCGACGUUUGUGCCAGGAAUAACGACAACUACAACGUGUUGCAUAUCGCCUCGAUGCACUCCAGAGAGGACGUGGUCAAGCUGCUCCUGGGCAAAAAAGGGGUCGAUCCGUACUCCACCGGCGGGAGUCGUAAUCAAACGGCGGUUCAUUUGGUCGCUUCGAGACAAACCGGUACCGCUACCGCCAUUUUGAGGGCCCUCCUUCAAGCAGCCGGUAAAGACAUCAGAUUAAAGACUGACGGGAGAGGCAAAAUACCGCUUCUCUUAGCCGUAGAGGCAGGCAACCAAUCGAUGUGCAGAGAACUACUCAGUACCCUGACGUCGGAACAGUUAAAAGCCGCCGCCACCAAUGGGGACACCGCCCUCCACUUGGCCGUCAGAAGAAAAGACAUUGACAUGGUUAGGAUCCUGGUGGAUUACGGUACCAACGUGGAUAUCCGUAACGGGGAGGGCCAGACGCCCCUGCACAUAGCCGCCGCCGAGGGUGACGAGGUCCUGGUGAAGUAUUUUUACGGGGUGCGAGCUUCGGCAAGCAUCACCGACGACCAGGACCGUACUCCCAUGCAUUUAGCAGCCGAGAACGGACACGCCAAUAUCAUCGAGUUACUGGCGGACAAAUUCAAGGCGAGCAUCUUCGAGAGGACAAAAGACGGUUCAACCCUGAUGCACAUCGCGUCCCUUAAUGGACACGCGGACUGCGCCAUGAUGCUGUUUAAAAAGGGCGUCUAUCUUCACAUGCCCAACAAGGAUGGAGCGCGAAGUAUUCAUACUGCCGCACGCUACGGCCACGUGGGCAUAAUCAACACCUUGCUACAAAAAGGGGAAAAGGUUGACGUGACAACAAACGACAACUAUACGGCCCUGCACAUCGCCGUGGAGUCCUGCAAACCUUUGGUGGUGGAAACUUUGUUAGGUUAUGGCGCCGACGUGCACGUAAGAGGAGGUAAAUUGAAGGAAACAGCCCUUCAUAUCGCGGCCAGGGUAAAAGACGGGGAGAAAUGCGCCUUGAUGUUGCUCAAGUCGGGUGCCGGGCCUAAUAUAGCAACACACGAUGGCAACACACCGGUCCACGUGGCCGCCAAGUUCGGUAACCUACAGACGUUGCUGUUGCUACUGGAAGACGGGGGGGAUCCCCAGUACAAAAACAAGAUAUCAUCCGCCACGCAUAAAAAAGGUGAGACCCCUUUGCAUCUGGCAAGCCGGAACUGUCGCCCGGAUGUGGUGACCAACCUGAUCCGGUACGUCAAGGAGAAAAAGGGCGAAGAAGCUGCCGCGUUAUACGUGAACGCCCUAACGGAAAACGACGAGAGUGCCCUGCAUUACGUUUGUACCGUCGACAAACUGGACGUGGAAGUACCCAAUUCGGAUCGGGAAGUGGUGAAGCUGCUCCUGGAGAACGGCGCGGACGUGAAACUUCAAACGAAACAGCACGAGACCGCCUUCCAUCUGGUGGCGUCCGCGGGAAACAACGACGUGCUGUUGGAAAUGAUCGCGCACAUGUCGCCGACCGAUGCGCAGAAGGCUUUAAACAGGCAAAACGCCAACGGGUGGACUCCCUUACUUAUUGCGUCACAUCAAGGUCACAUAGAUUUGGUGAAUAAUUUACUGGCGAACCAUGCCAGGGUGGACGUUUUCGACCAGGAGGGUCGAUCGGCCCUACACCUUGCUGCGGAACGGGGCUACCUCCACGUAUGCGAUUCCUUACUAACCAAUAAAGCUUUCAUCAAUUCGAAAUCCAGAAAUGGAAGGACUGCGUUGCACUUGGCCGCCCUGAACGGCUACGUCCACCUAGUGAAGUUCCUGAUAAAAGACCAUAACGCCGUUAUCGACAUAUUGACAUUGAAAAAGCAGACCCCGUUACAUUUGGCCGCAGGGGCGGGGCAAAUAGAGGUGUGCAAACUGCUCCUGGAACUCGGCGCGGACAUCGAUGCAACCGACGAGGACGGUAAGAAGCCGAUCCACGCCGCCUGUCAAAACAAUUUCUCCGAGGUGGCCAAACUGUUCUUGCAGCAGCACCCGAGUUUAGUUAUGGCCACCACCAAAGAUGGCAACACUUGCGCCCACAUCGCCGCAGCCCAGGGCAGCGUUACCGUCAUCGAGGAACUGAUGAAAUUCGACAGACAGGGGGUGAUUUCAGCAAGAAAUAAAGUAACUGACGCCACACCACUACAAAUGGCAGCAGAGGGUGGCCACGCGGAAGUAGUCAAGGCACUAGUCAGAGCGGGCGCCUCAGUAACAGACGAAAACAAAGGUGGCUUCACUGCAGUCCACCUGGCCGCCCAAUACGGUCACAUGCAAGUGCUGGAGGUGUUAAGGUCCUCGAACAACUUGAGGGUCACCAGCAAGAAACUGGGGGUGACGCCCCUGCACGUGGCCGCCUAUUUCGGCCAAGCGGAUACGGUGAGGGAACUCCUCACUCACGUGCCCGGAACCGUAAAGUCGGAGCAGCCCAAUGGGGCGUCUUUGGUGCCCGCCCUCGGGAACGAGUCUGGAAUGACCCCGUUACACUUGGCCGCCUUUUCGGGCAAAGAGAACGUCGUCAGGCUCCUGCUGAACUCGGCAGGGGUGCAAGUGGACGCCAGCACCCACGAAAACGGUUAUAAUCCGAUGCAUUUGGCUUGCUAUGGGGGUCACGUGACGGUGGUGGGGUUGUUGCUGAGCCGAUCAGCUGAGCUGCUGGAAAGCAGAGAUCGACACGGAAAAACUGGGCUGCACAUCGCCGCCACGCACGGACACUAUCAGAUGGUGGAGGUACUACUAGGCCAAGGGGCGGAGAUUAACGCCCCCGACAAAAACGGUUGGACCCCAUUACAUUGCGCCUCCAGAGCCGGUUACGUGGACUGCGUGAAACUGCUAACCGAAUCGGGGGCAUCCCCGAAAUCGGAAACGAACCUGGGGGCGGUACCGAUAUGGUUCGCCGCCUCCGAGGGGCACCACGCCGUCCUCGAGUACCUCAUGACCAAGGAGCACGACACCUACGCCCUCAUGGAAGAUCGUCGCUUCGUCUAUAACCUGAUGGUGUGCUCGAAGAAUCACAACAACCGUCCGAUGGAGGAGUUCAUCUUGGUGUCGCCCGCCCCGGUGGACACCGCCGCCAAAUUGUCCAACAUUUUGAUCGUGUUGUCCAAUAAGGAGAAGGAGAGGGCGAAGGAUCUGAUUGCUGCCGGGAAGUUUUGUGAGGCUAUGGCCACCGAACUGUUGGCCCUAGCCGCCGGUGCUGACUCGGCCGGUAAAAUCCUGACGGCAACCGACCGCAGAAACGUCGAAUUCCUGGACGUACUAAUCGAAAACGAGCAAAAAGAGGUUAUAGCCCACACUGUGGUCCAACGGUACCUUCAGGAACUGUGGAGGGGAGCGUUAAACUGGACCGCAUGGCGCACGUUGCUGCUCUUUGUGCUGUUCAUAAUAUGCCCCCCGGUCUGGAUAGCGUUCACUCUCCCGUUGGGGCAUAAGUACUAUAAAGUGCCCAUAAUCAAGUUCAUGUCGUACCUCACCUCCCACGUGUACCUUAUGCUGUUCCUGUUGGUUGUCGGCAUUACCCCGCCUUACCCCACUAUUAACCGGGAGAGUAUGUUGCCUUACUGGUACGAGUGGAUCCUGCUGGUGUGGCUCAGCGGUUUAUUGCUCUUCGAACUGACGAACCCCAGUGACAAGAGCGGACUGGGCUGGAUCAAAAUCUCCGUUUUAUUGUUCAGCAUUUUCGGGGUGGGUACCCACCUUAUCGGGCUUGUUUUUGUGGAAAAACGGUACUGGCCCACCCUGAUGUACUGUCGCAAUCAAUUGUUUGCACUCAGCUUCCUAUUGGCCUGCGUGCAGAUCUUGGACUUUUUGUCUUUUCAUCAUCUGUUUGGACCCUGGGCUAUUAUUAUUGGGAAUUUAAUGAAGGAUCUGGCGAGAUUCUUGGCGGUACUGGCGAUCUUCGUUUUCGGAUUCUCGAUGAUGUUCGUUGCCCUAAAUCAACCGUUCGACACCGACGGCCGUAAACGUACCACCGGGAUAUUCAAAGACGGCCCAAUCGGACAUAGAGUGGAAGUUUGGCCUCAGUAAGUUGAUCCGGAACAUGCACAGGACGACCACGGCGCCCUCCCCGAUUAACUUGAUCACCACGUGGCUCUUUUACCUGGUGGACAUAUGCAAAAAGAGAGUCAAAACGAAAAAACGCCAAAGUUUGGUACAUCUGAUGGGCAGUUUUCAGAAGGGCACCCAGUUAAGUCCCAG
Molecule: unclassified non-coding RNA, 4776 nt
Filed under: Anthonomus grandis grandis
Lineage: Eukaryota; Metazoa; Arthropoda; Insecta; Coleoptera; Curculionidae
Description: serine/threonine-protein phosphatase 6 regulatory ankyrin repeat subunit A
Source: RNAcentral